UGUGACUGCGUACCUUUUGUAUAAUGGGUCAGCGACUUAUAUUCUGUAGCAAGGUUAACCGAAUAGGGGAGCCGGAGGGAAACCGAGUCUUAAUUGGGCGUUAAGUUGCAGGGUAUAGACCCGAAACCCGGUGAUCUAGCCAUGGGCAGGUUGAAGGUUGGGUAACACUAACUGGAGGACCGAACCGACUAAUGUUGAAAAAUUAGCGGAUGACCUGUGGCUGGGGGUGAAAGGCCAAUCAAACCGGGAGAUAGCUGGUUCUCCCCGAAAGCUAUUUAGGUAGCGCCUCGUGAAUUCAUCUCCGGGGGUAGAGCACUGUUUCGGCUAGGGGGCCAUCCCGGCUUACCAACCCGAUGCAAACUGCGAAUACCGGAGAAUGUUAUCACGGGAGACACACGGCGGGUGCUAACGUCCGUCGUGAAGAGGGAAACAACCCAGACCGCCAGCUAAGGUCCCAAAGUCAUGGUUAAGUGGGAAACGAUGUGGGAAGGCCCAGACAGCCAGGAUGUUGGCUUAGAAGCAGCCAUCAUUUAAAGAAAGCGUAAUAGCUCACUGGUCGAGUCGGCCUGCGCGGAAGAUGUAACGGGGCUAAACCAUGCACCGAAGCUGCGGCAGCGACGCUGAUGCGUUGUUGGGUAGGGGAGCGUUCUGUAAGCCUGCGAAGGUGGCCUGUGAGGGUUGCUGGAGGUAUCAGAAGUGCGAAUGCUGACAUAAGUAACGAUAAAGCGGGUGAAAAGCCCGCUCGCCGGAAGACCAAGGGUUCCUGUCCAACGUUAAUCGGGGCAGGGUGAGUCGACCCCUAAGGCGAGGCCGAAAGGCGUAGUCGAUGGGAAACGGGUUAAUAUUCCCGUACUUGGUGUUACUGCGAAGGGGGGACGGAGAAGGCUAUGUUGGCCGGGCGACGGUUGUCCCGGUUUAAGCGUGUAGGUGUGUGUUCCAGGUAAAUCCGGUU
This 952-nucleotide ribosomal RNA is filed under the name Salmonella enterica subsp. enterica. RNAcentral's name for it is "partial 23S ribosomal RNA". It matches the Rfam family "Bacterial large subunit ribosomal RNA", at positions 592 to 1547 of the family's 2925-position model. The record is from RNAcentral. Lineage: Bacteria; Pseudomonadati; Pseudomonadota; Gammaproteobacteria; Enterobacterales; Enterobacteriaceae.